UACGGGAGGCAGCAGUGGGGGAAUAUUGCACAAUGGGCGCAAGCCUGAUGCAGCCAUGCCGCGUGUAUGAAGAAGGCCUUCGGGUUGUAAAGUACUUUCAGUCGUGAGGAAGGUGUUAAGGUUAAUAACCUUAGCAAUUGACGUUAGCGACAGAAGAAGCACCGGCUAACUCCGUGCCAGCAGCCGCGGUAAUACGGAGGGUGCGAGCGUUAAUCGGAAUUACUGGGCGUAAAGGGCACGCAGGCGGUUAAUUAAGUUGGAUGUGAAAUCCCCGGGCUUAACCUGGGAAUGGCAUUCAAGACUGGUUAGCUAGAGUCUUGUAGAGGGGGUAGAAUUCCAUGUGUAGCGGUGAAAUGCGUAGAGAUGUGGAGGAAUACCGGUGGCGAAGGCGGCCCCUGGACAAAGACUGACGCUCAUGUGCGAAAGCGUGGGGAGCGAAACAGGGAUUAGAUAC
RNAcentral lists this ribosomal RNA (454 nucleotides) under uncultured bacterium. Its description in RNAcentral is "bacterial SSU rRNA". It matches the Rfam family "Bacterial small subunit ribosomal RNA", at positions 340 to 785 of the family's 1533-position model. The record is from RNAcentral.